CGUAACUCUGAAUGACAUGCGUUCUCAUAAUGUGCUUCUGCUGAGUGCUCUCAAAUUUUUAUUCGUUUUCUAUCUUGCAAUUGCAGAUAAAAAAAUGGCAAAGCAAAAGUAAAUUCCCCAGUCAUUCUUAUUAAGUGGACUGAUGAGAACCUUAUCAUCACUACGAUGUGCCAAGCUUCUUCAAGCCCACAUCUAGUCUAGAUAACAUGGAUUUGAUCGACUACAUCUCUUUGUUGGAUUCUUGGAUUCAUAGUGAAAAGGUCAUCGUAUUCAGAUGGACCAGUUAGGAUGAUAAUAAAACCCCUUAUCAUUUCACCGAUUACUCAAUUCCAGAGAAAUGUGAUGGAAAGAAAAUGAUAAUGAAGACUGGCUUCAUUCUCUUUCACUGUGAUAUUUCCAAAAUUGCUUGACGCUUUGUAUCAGCCAGAAGAAUUGGCCAACAUGUCUCUCUCCGGCAAUGCCUGCCCGAGUAUGCCAGGCUCUAAGUCAAAGCCAGAAAUUCCCAAGGAGGCCUUGAAUGAAAUUAUAGGUUUUAGGCAACAUAUUGGGAUCAAGCAUACAAAGGAUCGAUUCUGACAGAGCAGCAAGUUAAAGAAGCUGUAAGUGCCAAACUCAUUGCGGUCCAAACAAGAGAGAAAAAGCAGAAAAACAAGAUGCUAGCCAACGAGGCAUCGUCACCACUUACUGCAGGAGUUCCUUCGAAAGUCAAAAGUUUGUUAUUUGUAUUAUUGUUCUAUUGUCUACUCUUAGUUGUGUGGAGUGAAAUUUAUGUCUGUUCGUUAGAGUGCGUGAUUAUGCCCAACAUUAUGUGUCGUGUUUUGAAAUACAAAGUCGAA
Molecule: long non-coding RNA, 836 nt
Organism: Daphnia pulex (common water flea)
Lineage: Eukaryota; Metazoa; Arthropoda; Branchiopoda; Diplostraca; Daphniidae
Exons: 5
Source: RefSeq, a predicted model, not a curated record